RNAcentral lists this ribosomal RNA (303 nucleotides) under uncultured bacterium. RNAcentral's name for it is "partial 16S ribosomal RNA". It matches the Rfam family "Bacterial small subunit ribosomal RNA", at positions 507 to 807 of the family's 1533-position model. The record is from RNAcentral.
AGCAGUAGCCACGGUAAUACGGAGGGGGCUAGCGUUGUUCGGAAUUACUGGGCGUAAAGCGCACGUAGGCGGCUUGGUAAGUUAGAGGUGAAAGCCUGGAGCUCAACUCCAGAAUUGCCUUUAAGACUGCACCGCUUGAACGUCGGAGAGGUGAGUGGAAUUCCGAGUGUAGAGGUGAAAUUCGUAGAUAUUCGGAAGAACACCAGUGGCGAAGGCGGCUCACUGGACGACUGUUGACGCUGAGGUACGAAAGCGUGGGGAGCAAACAGGAUUAGAUACCCCGGUAGUCCCUGUCUCUUAUAC